Molecule: long non-coding RNA, 2023 nt
Filed under: Helianthus annuus (common sunflower)
Lineage: Eukaryota; Viridiplantae; Streptophyta; Magnoliopsida; Asterales; Asteraceae
Description: hypothetical non coding rna
Source: RNAcentral
AUGUGUAUUGGGAUAAUGGAUGCAAGGGGUCCAAUUCGAAGGUUAACCUCGUGUGACAGUAUGUUAGCAUAGCGCUUAACUGGACCGCAAACGUAGUCUUCGAUGCGAUAACACAUCAGCAUAUUGAGCUUUGAUUCAACAUACUUUCUGUCAGUUAUUUGCAUUAUCGCCUGGAUGGCAUCACCCUGAAUGAAAGAUCAAAAAAAUGAUUAUAGUUAUUUGUUGCAUCGAAACAGAUGUAGCAUGAACAUAGAUUAAUUGUAUUGUUACAAACAGGUCCAAAAAUACGUAGCAAGUGUAUGGUGGCUCUAAAUGGGGAAUCCAUUUCCUUAAGAUGCGGACCCGUAUAGUUGUACCGGGAGUUCCUAGUUUGAGAGCGGCUUUCGGUAUCCAUCAUUUUCUACAGAGUGAUUAACUGUGGUAGUAGUUUACAACCAACACUCACCCCACCAAAUUGGUAUCUUCAAUGGGGUUUACUAAUUGAUAGAAGUACUUCAAUCACGUAAAAAUGUCAAAUUGCCUUAAACCUAUGGCAGAAAAAACGUAACAAAAUUUAGUAGGAAACCUGCAUACAACGGGGAUGCGUACCUGAAACCACUUCCUUCUUCCUCUCCUGCCUAAAAUUACAACCCUAGGUUGAUCAUAUUCAUUGGAAAACCCUAAUUUCAACAGAAUCUGGGAGAAUAAGUAUACCUGGGGAUGGAUUGAGAGAUCCGGGAAGGCGGUGACGAGCUGUUGCUGUUGAGCACUGAUCUCAAAUGGUGAAUCCAUGAUGAAGGACAUAGGCCGUAAGAUCUCUGACGACGCCGCCUUGUGUAGCACACGAAGUUGCCGGAACCCUAACCGGACAACCCUUCCCAAAACCCUGCAGUCCCUCUCUUCUCUUUCCCUCUCUAACGUCUCUGUGUAGCCGACUUCGAUUGACGCCGGUGGGAGCCAGACCGGUGGUAGUAAGGGGAGGCGCGGUGUCGAUGUCGGUAGAGGCACGGUGGAUGACGUGUGUUGUGGGGGAAAGGAGUGUGGAGUAGUGUCCGGCGGCCGGAUUUGGUUGUGCCUGAGAUGGAUGGUGGAAGAGUGAUGGUGGGUUGAUGUAAGGGUUUUGAGUUGAGAAAGUGAUGGUGUACGGCUGUAUUAAUGUUAUAUUAUUAUAACAAUAAAUUUACUGUUCAUUGGCUUCGUUUAGAAAUAUAUGUAUAAUAUAAUGGCUUAGAAAAAGACGUUAACCUAUUAAGAGAGGUGGGGGCGGUGCGUGAUACACAAAAAAUAACGCGUGGAAAAAAGUUUUUUCCCACCGCCACUCCAAGUUCAACGCGUGAUACUUCAACGUAAACCCGAUUCCAUGAUUUUUUUCACGGCGUGAUAGUUGUUAAUUGUGAGGGUAGUUGUUGGUUGGGGGGAAAUUGUUGGGUGUGGUGGUGAGUGAUGACCACCGCCACUAAAAAAGGUUGCGAGUGAUGGAAAAAUGGUUGCUGACAUGGCGGAACAUGAUUGGAUAUUGUGAGUGAUAAAAUUCUAUCACUAGUGACCACCCCCACUCCCCUAAUUAACUAAUAUUAGUAAACGAUAUUCAUCUACGAUUAUUCUAUCUGUUGUUUGGUUGGUUGUUAUUUAGGUGCUGCUGAUUUUCUGUUGUUUGGACCUUAUGUUAUAUCAUGUUUUUUAAACUUUUAAUGCUUCUUUGAGGUAGUUUAUGUAAUGUAUGUUUUGCUACGUUAGAUUGUUAAAAGUUGAAUAUAGUGUGUGUGUUUUUUUGGGAAAUAACUUCUUUGUAUCUUUCUUCCAGUUAAAAUAACAAACAAAUCCAAAUUGGACUCGAAUUUGAAUAAGUUAACUAGAAUCGAAUAAGUUGAAUUUCAGGCGAACUUUUGAGUUGAAUUCGACUACAUAUUUUAAAACUUCAAAUUCUAACUCGAUUCGAAUAACUUGAAAUCCGAUCGACUUAAUGAAUAUCCCUAAUCAGUAAAUCUCUUUGAAAAAGCAUCAUCCAACUUUAGUGUCCGAGUCUGAUUUGAGCUUGGUAUUU